CCAAGUGGCUUGAGUGGGACACACCCAAAAUGUGACAGAAGAUUGGCUCCUUGAGGCUGAGGCAGAGCUAGUGACAGUCACAGUUGCACAGCUCAAUCAGACACCGGGCCAAGCCAGGAAUAGGGGAAUGACCUUUUGAACAGCUGAGGUUUCGGGGUACAGCAUCAAAUGACUGGUAGGAUAAGAAUGUGAGCCUUCUGAAGGCUGGGACCAGCUCUUGUUUUCAGUGCAGUGCCUUGAUAGUACUCCAUAAAUCUUUGCAGUUCUUAGUCGCGGUCAACCGGGCGUUCCUCCAGUCCCUGAACGGAAGUGGUGAAUUUCCGCUGCCACCUACCAGGUCGGAUCUUCAUCGUGUGCUGGGACCUGCGGCGCUGCAAAGGGAAGACUGAACCCUUGGGAUACACCUCCAAUCUGCUGUUGACUUCGGCCAAGUCACUAAGCAUCGCAGAGUCCAUUUCCUCCUCUGUAAAUCGGGGAACCGCCUGCCUCACAGGGAUACUGUAAAACCCAAAACUUCUUGCUAAUUGUGUAUAAUUGUUCUCAAUAUUUUUUCAACCUGGCUCCACUCUUUUUAUU
This is a long non-coding RNA of Manis javanica (Malayan pangolin), 576 nucleotides long. RefSeq lists it as uncharacterized. NCBI's taxonomy places the organism in Eukaryota, Metazoa, Chordata, Mammalia, Pholidota, Manidae. The record is from RefSeq and is a predicted model, not a curated record.